UACGAAGGGGGCAAGCGUUGUUCGGAAUUACUGGGCGUAAAGGGCGCGUAGGCGGCUUAUCAAGUCAGGCGUGAAAUUCCCGGGCUCAACCUGGGGGCUGCGCUUGAUACUGAUUGGCUUGAAUGCGGGAGAGGAUAGUGGAAUUCCCAGUGUAGAGGUGAAAUUCGUAGAUAUUGGGAAGAACACCGGUGGCGAAGGCGGCUUCUUGGCCUGUUCUUGACGCUGAGGCGCGAAAGCUGGGGGAGCAAACGGG
RNAcentral lists this ribosomal RNA (253 nucleotides) under uncultured bacterium. RNAcentral describes it as "partial 16S ribosomal RNA". It matches the Rfam family "Bacterial small subunit ribosomal RNA", at positions 524 to 776 of the family's 1533-position model. The record is from RNAcentral.